RNAcentral lists this ribosomal RNA (980 nucleotides) under Candidatus Kaiserbacteria bacterium. Its description in RNAcentral is "partial 23S ribosomal RNA". It matches the Rfam family "Bacterial large subunit ribosomal RNA", at positions 494 to 1453 of the family's 2925-position model. Lineage: Bacteria; Candidatus Kaiseribacteriota. The record is from RNAcentral.
ACUAGUACCGUGAGGGAAAGGUGAAAAGAACCCUAAGAAAGGGAGUGAAAAGAACCUGAAACCGUGUGCUUACAAGCGGUCGGAGUCCUGAGUGAUCGGGAUGACGGCGUGCCUUUUGCAUAAUGAGCCUACGAGUUACACCUUACUAGCGAGUUUAAGUGCUUCAGGCACGAAGGCGAAGCGAAAGCGAGUCUGAACAGGGCGAUGCAGCUAGUAGGGGUAGACGCGAAACCGAGUGAUCUACCCAUGGGCAGGCUGAAGUUGGGAUAGUCUCCCAAUGGAGGGCCGAACCAGUNNNNNNNNNNAAACGUUGAAAAGUUUUUUUUUUUUUUUUGGGUAGGGGUGAAAGGCCAAUCAAACUCGGAGAUAGCUCGUACUCCCCGAAAUGCAUUUAGGUGCAGCGCCAGGGAGAGUGUCAUGGAGGUAGAGCUACCAAUAAGGCUAGGGGGCUUCACCGCCUACCAACCCUUGAUGAACUCCGAAUGCCAUGACACUGCACUGGCAGUGAGGCUACGGGUGCUAAGGUCCGUGGCCGAGAGGGAAAGAACCCAGACCAUCAGCUAAGGCCCCCAAGUAUAUGCUAAGUUGAUGGAACGAGGUGGGGAUGCUAUGACAGCUAGGAUGUUGGCUUGGAAGCAGCCACUCAUUUAAAGAGUGCGUAACAGCUCACUAGUCGAGCGUUCCUGCGCGGAAAAUGAUCGGGCAUCAAGCAUAUCGCCGAAGCUAUGGAUUGUACGACUAGGUUGUACAGUGGUAGGGGAGCAUUCCAGUGGCGUAGAAGCUGUGCUGUGAGGCAUGGUGGAGCAGCUGGAAAAGAAAAUGUAGGCAUGAGUAACGAUAAAACGGGUGAGAUACCCGUUCGCCGUAAGACUAAGGGUUCCUCGAUCGAUGUUAAUCAGAUCAGGGUUAGUCGGGUCCUAAGGUGUAGCCGAAAGGCGAAGCUAAUGGCAAACUGGUUAAUAUUCCAGUACCUGCAUACA